AUAUAUUCGUUAAUCCCAACCGAGUACGUUAAGAACAAAGUGAGUAAAGGAAAGCAAAGUCCAAAACAUGGUUAAAUUUGAAGUAACCAUAUAAGAGUUCAAUUGAAUGGCCAAGUCAUGAGAAUAUGGGAUCACAUUAACAACUUGUGGGUCUUGAAACGGUGGGGGUGGGGGUGGAGGCGGCCGCAUAGGCGGUGGAGACGUGGAGGUGGAUGUGGUAACGGAUUAGAAACGUAUAACAAUGAAGUGAUCGUUUUUUGUCGUCACAUCACAUAGGCAUGCAUUGGUAAUAAACAUGCACAUGACAUUCACAUUUACAAUCUCAUAAGAGAGAAUUUGCUUGGUUCCCGCAAAGAAUAAAGUUGGAACGACAUAAAGAAAAUUUGCUUGGUUCCCGCAAAGAAUAACAUGCAUAAACCAUUUAUCCAAAGAAAAUAAAAAAGUAAAUAAAUAAGUAUGAGGCACAAACUAAAAAUGGUGCAAGAGGAAAAAAUUAUAAAAUAAAUAAAAGUGGACUUGAUGAGUUGCAACUUUGAUGUAUUAAACGGGCUUCUCAACCCAAUUAAGUUUAUAGUUGGGACAUUUAUAGGCCCUAAACUUUCAAGGAUUUGUCGGUGCGGCAUGGCAGACAGAAUAUGACUGGUCUGGUCUUCGUCAAAAAAAAAAAAAACAUCCCCACGUGUCUCUUUCCACAGUUUCCCCAAAAUUUCUGGAUUAACAAUCCUCGUUAUGGAAUUUUAUACAGAUUUAAAGAUUUAUUUGUGCACCUUCAUAACAUAUUUCGCUCUAUCUAGAUGUGAAAAUAUUUCUCAUUUACAGAGAGAUUUAUACAGGACGUUGAACGUACAUAGCUACCUACAAUAAUGGAAGGUAUGAGAACGUUAAAGAUGGAUGUGCAUAGAUAUAAGUAGACUGUUACUAGCAAGACGACAAAAAAAAAGUAGACUGUUACUAUUGUUUUCUACUAAAUGAUGAGUGAACUAUGGUGAUCCGUUGAGAAUAAAAGAAGAAGACAAAUAUACCAAAUUUAUCUAUUUGUUGCGAUAAUAAACGUGGUAUUCAUAUACUAAGGUGCGUAUGUGUAAACAAG
Molecule: long non-coding RNA, 1090 nt
Filed under: Brassica rapa (field mustard)
Lineage: Eukaryota; Viridiplantae; Streptophyta; Magnoliopsida; Brassicales; Brassicaceae
Description: long non-coding RNA (BRAP_LNC002058)
Source: RNAcentral